GCGGAAGUGGCGGAACUGGCAGACGCGCAAGCCUCAGGAGCUUGUGGGCUUCGGCUCGUGGGGGUUCAAAUCCCCCCUUCCGCA
RNAcentral lists this transfer RNA (84 nucleotides) under Acidobacteriota bacterium. Its description in RNAcentral is "Acidobacteria bacterium tRNA-Leu". It matches the Rfam family "tRNA". From Rfam's summary of the family: Transfer RNA (tRNA) molecules are approximately 80 nucleotides in length. RNAcentral also lists the same sequence under 1 other name. The record is from RNAcentral. Lineage: Bacteria; Pseudomonadati; Acidobacteriota.